UACGUAGGGUGCGAGCGUUGUCCGGAAUUACUGGGCGUAAAGAGCUCGUAGGCGGUUUGUCGCGUCUGCCGUGAAAGUCCGGGGCUCAACUCCGGAUCUGCGGUGGGUACGGGCAGACUAGAGUGAUGUAGGGGAGACUGGAAUUCCUGGUGUAGCGGUGAAAUGCGCAGAUAUCGGGAGGAACACCGGUGGCGAAGGCGGGUCUCUGGGCCGGUACUGACGCUGAGGAGCGAAAGCGUGGGGAGCGAACAGG
RNAcentral lists this ribosomal RNA (253 nucleotides) under uncultured bacterium. RNAcentral's name for it is "partial 16S ribosomal RNA". It matches the Rfam family "Bacterial small subunit ribosomal RNA", at positions 524 to 776 of the family's 1533-position model. The record is from RNAcentral.